GACACCCCAUGUUUGCCGAGGGCUCUGGUGCUGAGCUGUGUCUUCUCUGAGGACAGUGCUGCUGACAAACAGGUUGGGUGCUGGGAAAGUCCUGUCUGAGUCGAGCCUGGCAGUCAGGUACACCGCCUCCAUGUUUCCCGAGCUUGAAGAAUGAACUCUAAGGAACAACGAAGGUUAAGAGGAGGAAAAGGUACUGGGGAGAAGGAACAGGGACUAGGAAUGAGGUGUAAGAAUCGCUCCUGAGAGGCAGGAGGGUCCGGAUGGGGUUGCCCUUACUUCUGUUUAUGUCUCUCAUUCCCUACCCUUUGCCUUCCUCCCUGCUCCAUCCAACUCUUCAUCCCAGUCUCAUUUGCAAAAGUCCUAUUUUCCUGGUUUUUUCCUCAAAGACAUAACAUUACAGUGUUGUGUGCACACCCAUGUUUAUAGCAACGCAAUUCAUAGUAGCUACACCUUGGAAGCAGCCUCUAUGUCCAUCAACAGGUGACUUGAUAAAGAAAGUGUGGAACUUACACACAGUGGAAAAAAAAAAAAAAAAAAACUUACACACAGUGGAACACCGCUCUGCCAAUAUUGUGUUUCUUGAAUGCCUUGACCUACUACAGUCAAAUGAAAAGCAUUGGCCAGUGUUACCAAAGUUGUUUAAAUAAAAAUUUUAUGUAAGUGCAUGUGAGAAAUACAUGUGUCAAAAUCCCCAUCACACAGGUCAGAAAAUGUGCGAGUUAACUGUGGCUCUUCCAUUAGCUUUUAGUUCAGUUCCGGCCACAUUAACCCAUCCUCUGGGGCUCAGCACCCUUAUUUGCAUGACAAGGAUGUUGCACUAUGACACUUCCAUGGCCCAUGGAAGCCUUGUCGAAGAAGCCCCGGUCUGUGAAGACAGCAGAGAGAAGAGAACAGAGUGAAUGCUGAGCCUGAAAUGGAUUCUAGCAGUGCUCUCGGUUCCCAGGGCUCUCGGUCCUCCAAGGCGGGUGCCUGCUCCAUGCAGCCUGGCUGGAGUCUGCACGUAGGGAGUGGAAGCCAGAAGCCCUUCUUGGACGUCUGCACCUCUUUCUCCUGGACCAUUUCCACUGCACUGGGGAAACUUCCACAGAACGGAGCACUGGUUCCUCUGUUCUAUUUCAGAAGCCAUGGCUUAUACUCUGCCCUCCAUGGAGCAGCUGGUUCUUUCUCAAGAGUCCUAAAGUGGAAGGAUUUAGCAUCAAAAUUCUAACCAAAACAGCACGUCAUUUCAGCAGCAGGAAGAAAAGCCUUGGAACAAUACCUAUAAAAUAAUUCUGAUUCUGUCAAAAUAAAAAUGUCCCCAGUUCUCUGUAUGCGAGUAUAUGAUUUUUGCAAA
Molecule: long non-coding RNA, 1333 nt
Filed under: Chinchilla lanigera (long-tailed chinchilla)
Lineage: Eukaryota; Metazoa; Chordata; Mammalia; Rodentia; Chinchillidae
Description: lncRNA (ENSCLAG00000023335.1)
Source: RNAcentral